Varanus komodoensis (Komodo dragon) is the source of this 149-nucleotide long non-coding RNA. RefSeq lists it as uncharacterized. The record is from RefSeq and is a predicted model, not a curated record. NCBI's taxonomy places the organism in Eukaryota, Metazoa, Chordata, Lepidosauria, Squamata, Varanidae. The transcript is spliced from 3 exons.
UGCUGAAACCAGAGUGGAAUAAUCAGUUCAAGCUGCGACAGCCCAGAUUCAGGCUGGACAUCAGGGGAAGCUUCCUCACAGUCAGAGCAAUACGGCAGCGGAGCCAGCUCCCUGGAGAGUGGGCGGCUCUCCCACACUGGAGACAGUCA